This is a long non-coding RNA of Daucus carota subsp. sativus, 1720 nucleotides long. RefSeq lists it as uncharacterized. The record is from RefSeq and is a predicted model, not a curated record. The transcript has 6 exons. NCBI's taxonomy places the organism in Eukaryota, Viridiplantae, Streptophyta, Magnoliopsida, Apiales, Apiaceae.
CACUCUAUGGAGACCUACUUUAUAUAGAGUACAUGGAGACCCUCAAUCUAACCCUUAAAUUCAAAGCUUAUCCAACAACUGUGAUUUAAUUAAAUAAAACAGUUGAGAAACAACAGCUGUUAUCCUGUUACGCACACUACACGCACUUGCAUAGAUAGAGAGAGGGAGCGAGAGAAUGGAAGAGAGCGAACCAGAGAGGUUAUCCUAAGCAUAGUUUAUCAGAUUUGAACUUUUUUUCGUGGAUUAUCCCGAGCAUUGAGCCGGACAUGUUCGGAAGAGGAAAUUAGCAGGACAAUUAGUCAAUCCUGACAGGCCGGAAGAUUUUAAUCAGGCUCUUAUGAAACUUGGUGCCACAGUAUGCAUUCUACAUAAUCCAAGCUGCUCCACAUGCCCGGUCUCAGGUCAAUGUCGUGCGCUGCCAGUAUCAAGACAUGAUAGAUCAGUAUCUGUCAAGGAUUAUCCACCAAAAGUUUUCAAGGCUAAGGGCAUGAAUUUUCUGCCGUCACUGUUGUGAAAAUAAUAGAAGAUGAAGCCCUGAUGGAUCAACCACAAUGUAAUAGUAUAUUCCUUCUUAUAAAGAGACCAUAUAAAGGUUUACUUGGCCUUGGUAGUUUCCAUCUGUUCCACUAAUUGGCAAGGCAGACUUGGUCACAAAGAAAGAUGCAAUCGACCAAUAUUUGAAGUCAUUUGAUCUCGAAUCUGGAAGUACCUGUGAAGUAAUUUUUAGAAAAGAUGUAGGAGAAUAUAUACAUGUGUUCAGUCACAUAUGUCUCAAGAUGUAUAUAGAGUUGCUGGUUCUACAUCUAAAAAGGUUCUACCCAAAGGCACGAAGUGUGUGAAUCUGGAAAAAGAGAACAUGGAAAAAAAGUAUGUUAAUAGCAAGGACGUCGCAAGCCUAGGACUAACAUCUGGAGUGAGGAAGGAUACACAAAUGGAGCUAUGGAGAUAUUGCAUGUGAUGAGUAUCACAAACACAAGGAAGAUGUCCAUCUGAUGGCAGAGACAGGCCUAGGGGCAUAUAGGUUCUCUAUUUCAUGGUCAAGACUUUAUUCCGAGUAUAGAUCAGUAAAAAGUGCAUAUUACCGCGAAGCAGUGGGAGCAAUGGUAGUAUAUGACAUGACAAAGCGGCAGUCAUUUGAUCACAUACCUGGAUGGCUCGACGAAGGGUGCAUGCUGACAAGAAUAUUGUAAUUAUGCUCAUUGGCAACAAAUCUGACUUGGGAAGUCUUAGAGCAAUACCAACUGAGGAUGAUCAGCAGCUCGCAGAGAAGGAAAAACUAUGCUCUGUGGAGACAUCAUCCUGUGGGGCAACUAACGUCGAGACUGCCUUUCUGACGGUUUUAACAUAAAUAUAUAAUAUAACAGGCAAAAAGACCCUCACUGCUAGUGAUGUGGAUUAUGCAAAGUCUUCAACUCUCAAGGGAACCAGUAUAGUCAUUCGUGGCCAGGAGCGGAAUACUACUGCAAGUAGUGGUGGCUGUAGCACAUAAAUCUUUAUCUUUUUCCUUUAAGGUCAUGUUUUUUACUUAGGAAUAUAAGUAUGUUAGGUUAGGAUAUUACUGUUCAAACAAAAAUUUUAAAAUUUUCAGCCAAAAAGAUUUUCUGCAAUGUAGCCAAGCCAGGCUCAAAGUAAGUCUUUUUUGUUUGUACAAGAUCAUUAGUAUAUAGUGUAUGGUUUCUUUCAUAAAUAGAAGAUCUUUGCAGUAUUGCAAUAACUUCUU